Macaca mulatta (Rhesus monkey) is the source of this 1345-nucleotide non-coding RNA. NCBI's taxonomy places the organism in Eukaryota, Metazoa, Chordata, Mammalia, Primates, Cercopithecidae. The record is from RefSeq and is a predicted model, not a curated record.
AAAUACAGUUGCUUAGAGCCCAUACCUUGCUGAUUCUAGGCACACUGCCUGUGAGUUAGCCCUGCUCCACAAGAAGUAGUACUGUUCAGGAAAAGGUUGCUAUCUAACACCACUAGCUUGCCCUUGAAUUCUUUCCUGGGCAAAGCCAAGAACCCUACUGGGCUAAGCCCCAGUCUUGGGGCUCACCUGUCCUGCAUCAUCAGGUGGCCACAAAGGGAUGAAGAUAAUGAGUGGGAGGAAGUGACCACUGUGGCAUUGAGACAGCAGAAAUGGCAGUCAUCAGCGGCAAGAUGGCAAGACAGUGGCAAUUAGUAAAGAGGCCAAAUGAUAAGAAAUACUUGAGAGCUGGAGAAAUGGUGAGACAGCAGGAUGGCAAGACGGUGACCAGCGAGAUGGUGAGAGGCGGCAAUCAGAGAGAGGUGGUGAUGUGGCAGUCAGCCAGCCCUGUAAGGAUCAAAGCUGCAGAGAGCUGGAACACUAACCAAAGGUUCUUUGCAGGACCAUCAUCUUUCCUGGCAGAUGGUGGAGCUGAGUGGAUAGACGAGCAGCCAUAGCGCAGGGAUUCAAAGCUCUGGCUGGGAGGCUGCAGGAUCACAUGCCAAUUCCCUCGCAGCAACCGAGCCUGCCCAAGCCUGGGAAACCUGGGGAGUAAACCUUCACCUGCACCGUACAUCAGAGACCGGUUGGCCCUAUUUUGACUCCUGUGGACAGACCCUGUCUCUCAGGACUCUGAAGCAUCUUCGUCUCACCUAAGCCAUCCCCACGGGAUCAUUAUUAUAUGACAUAGCCACCAAAGUGCAGAUGAGGAAACUGAGGGCCAGACAACUUGCUGAUGUUACACUGGCUACCACUUUACUGUGAGCCACGAAGCACCACACCUGGUCUCAUGGCAGGAAUGGCUUCUUGGCCUUAGGGAACACUGGCUGUGUGGAAAAAUCACACCUCAGAAUGAUCCAUGGGAGAGAAAAGGGGAGAGGGAGUUUGCUGCCCUCUCUGCCCUGUCUCUUGUCUCUACUGGCCCAAGUUUGUCCCAUGGGGAGUCGAGAACCCCUUCCUCCUGGGUGGUGUCAUGCAGCCUCUUUAGCAGGCGCUAGGGAGGUUAGCUCCCAGGCCUUGUGGGUUGGCUGUUUAUCUGAGUCUGGAGGUGGUUGGAGGAGCCAUAACCCCAGAUAGGGAGCAGGUGUGUGGGCCACACACAGUAGCUGAGGCAAAGCAGGCACCUGAGGAAGCAGAUGAGGCUGAGAGAAGUCUGAUACUCAUGGAUGGGUGUGGUGAGUGGUCAUUGAAAUGCAGACAACUGGGCUGGGCGUGGUGGCUCACGCCUGUAAUCCCAGCACUUUGGGAG